UUACAGUUCAAAGGUAUAGAUUUAAUCAUGAAGUCAUAGUUAUGAGCUUGAGAAAUUUCAAAUAAUUCUGUUUACAAAGAUCAUACCUUGUUUACAACAAUUGUGAACUAAGGAAAUGUCAAGUAGCUAGCUAGCUCAAUUUUUUUACCCCUCUCAUUUCUUAAUUCAUAUUACUUAAAAUGCCUUAAUUUUAGUAUAUUUAUCUUGCUACUUCUGAUAAGUUUGAAAAUAAAAACCCCAAACAAAAAAACAACAAAACCAAAAAAUCCAAAACCAACCAAACAAAAAAAUCCCCAAGAAAACAACAACAAAAAAAAAAAAAAACCCAAACCAACACAACUAACAGGAGUCCUGCAGACUGUUGCCCAGUAGUUGUCCUGGACAUCUCAGUUUUUUCAGGCCUGCCAGGGUACAUAUUUACAUACAUGAGAAAUUUCCAGACUUUCUUAGACUCCCUGAACUGACUUUUCUUCCUUUGUCACAUAAACCUGUCCUGCUUCUUCCCACAAACACCAUCAUGUAGAACAGUGCCAUAGACUGGAUGUAGUAACGUGUUAGCCUCUUGUGUAAUGCAUGAAGGAUGAAAAACUUAGUAGGUGAACACCUUUCCCUGCAAUCUAUUAACAAUCUUCCGGUAUCGGUGAUGUGCCAGUUUGCAGGUUAAAUUGCUUAGAUACCUACAGGAGUUCUUGGACUGUUUACUUCCUCUGUGCUUAUUUCAAUGCAGAAAAAAAUAUAGGCUGAUAUAGACAUUUCAACCGUAACAGCUGAACAGUGGAUAGGAGCAGAACAUUGUGUCUUGUACCUGUGGAUGCUAAGGAAUUUCAUGAGUUUAGAAUGGCAUUAAAACUCCCUUGUACAGAAUAGUUCAUGGACUUUGUUCUUUUAGUUAAACGUGGUGUGAGCGUUUGCAGGCAAAGGGCCAUAGUUGUAACCACCUUUAUAGCUAUUCCAUCAGUGUAAGACGAAUUGGUGGUUUCACUUUCUAGAGCAGAAAGUAAGUGACAAAAAGAUGUGGGGGUUAGAAAGACAUUUCUAGGCCAAGCUGUUCCAGGUUACUGUUAUCCUUCAUAAAGCUUGGGGCUUCUUCCUCAGAAAGUGCUCUAACUGGAAGUUCUCAGCAAGGGGAUUACAUUAAAUGGAUUCUGCAUUGACUUAACCUGAGACUUUCUUCUCUGCCUGCUAUAGAAGAUGGUCAAGUCAGUGUAAAAAGAGAUCAAUGUUACAUGCAGAACUAUGCAUUUGACACACCUGGAGUUAUAAAAAUCAGUGACUGGUUCUUCUAGGGUUCACGUGAGAUGAUAAAACAUCAUUGGAUCUCACAACGCAAAGCAAGCAUGUCAGCAUUACUAUAAACUAAACAAGUCAUUAUGUUACUGUGGUCACAGUGGUUAUGCUGCACGCAGAUUGCACAAUGAAUAGUAUUUCCUCCUAGUCUGUAUCGCUGAACGUGUGUCAUGUUUACAAAUAGCAGAGUUGUUUAUCACUGGUCUGACUCGGUACACCAUCCUGGAUGGAGUUGUACAGAAGUUAAAAAGCCAGAUUUAGACAGUCUACUCUGAAUACAUACACACACUUUUUGGCAGCCUCAUGGUGCCUCUUGCUUUAUAAAGCAUUUCUCUCUGCUCAGACAUUGUGAAAUUCAGAUGGCACACACGUCACUGAAGUGCAGAUCUACAUCUGCAGAUGUACAGCUUGCCAGUACGCAUAUGGACAUGAGUGGAAUUGGGGCCAUCUGACUGUGUCCUGAAGCAUCUGCUGUGCAGGAUAUGCCUACUGCAGUGUGCCAUGUAUGGAGAAGAUAAUUCAGGCAGUCUAAUCAAACUGGCUCAGGCUGAGGCACCAGAUAGCCUGGCUGUGGUAGUGAAGAGCUCUGGGUAGGGCACCUUACAUUUGAUUUGGCAAUUCAGACAUACCCAUGGAAGCACUGUGGAAAACAAGACAGAAUACCAUACUGCAGCUCCCAGUAAAAUCAGUAACACUAGAUUUACAACUUAAAUGGCAGUAGAAAGCCACUCAUUUUCUCGUGUACAGUUCACCUCGUAACUGAAAUUGAAAAAAAACCAAACCAACCAACCCCAAAAUCAAAAAAACCUCACAAAACAAACAAAACCCAAGCCAACAACACAACAGUAGCAUGCACAAUAGGAAUAGCAUUAAUGUGCAUUUCACAUGUUUUAUUUCAUUUGCAUUUCACUGAAUCAUCUACUUUUAUCUGCCCUGCUAAGAAGCUCCUGCAAAGCAGUUAAAUAUGAUUUUCUGGACUUUAUACAAUGGGAAUUCAUAAUGUGGAGUAAUUUAGUAAGUUAGAGAGAUCAAAUCACAAGUCAGUCAAAGUUGGAAGCAGAGUUCAAAUAUCCUGACUCCCAGAAAAAAAAGAUGGUACAGCAGGAACAAUUUCUGACUAUUAAAGUAUUGAGAAUAACUUCCACCAGACCUGCACCUAAUUUAAAUACUACUAAUUAGUAACCCAGGCAGGUGACAAAAAUAAUAGAUUGAACUAAAAAUUGUAGCAAUGGUGAAUUUUUCAAGGAAUGUUUUUAAACAUAAAUUGAAUGCAUAAAAUCAGGUCUACCUCUUUAAUUAGAUCCUAAACAAGAAAAAGUUCAAACUAUGCUUAGUACUUUAUUCAGUGAACAAAAGCAGCAAAAUGAAAGACUUUUUCAACAUUCUUUGAAGUUAAAAUAACCUUAUGUACAACUUGUUAAAAAGAGUAAGUAACACUAAGCACAGUCUGCCCC
Molecule: long non-coding RNA, 2741 nt
Organism: Strigops habroptila (Kakapo)
Lineage: Eukaryota; Metazoa; Chordata; Aves; Psittaciformes; Psittacidae
Source: Ensembl